This 1422-nucleotide long non-coding RNA is filed under the name Mus musculus (house mouse). RNAcentral's name for it is "predicted gene, 32365". Lineage: Eukaryota; Metazoa; Chordata; Mammalia; Rodentia; Muridae. The record is from RNAcentral.
GCCAGGUAAGGACCCACUAUAAAAGGGGCUGCUUGCCCCCUCCUCUCUCUCUUGCUUCCUCUCUUUCCCCUUCCCCUUCCCCUCUCUCCACGUGCUCAUGGCCGGCCUCUAUUCUCCCCCUCCUCCCCCUCCUCCUCCUCUUCCUCCUCCUCCUCCUCCUCUUCCUCCUCCUCCUCCUCACCUCUUCUCUCUCUCUCUCUCUCUCUCUCUCUCUCUUUCUCUCUUUAUCUCUCUCUGCCUUUCUCUGCCUCUACUACUCUUUUAACUCCCCUCCCAUGCCCCCUGAAUAAACUCUAUUCUAUACUAUACUGUCCUGUGUGGCUAGUCCCUCAGGGGGAAGGGAUGCCUCGGCAUAGGCCUAUUGAGACAUCCCCUUCCCCCAUACCUCAUCACACUCCCAUAGAACAUAACCCCCAUCUCUUUAUCUUUUAUAAACACAUCAACAUCCAUCUAUCAGAAUAUGAAAUGAGUCAGCAUCUCAAUAUCAUUUCCAAUGUGAGUGAAGAAAUACUAUAAAAGCUACAUGCAUCCAUAAGACAAAGCAUGCGGUUCUUCCUCUACUUGGACGCUGUACUUCUCCAUCCUUCAAGUUUCAGCUCAAGCAGAAGCAUCCUCAGAAAGCCCUCGGAGAUCCACAUUAGGCCACGCACCUACUGAGCCUCUUAUUAGCAUGUAAACCUUCUUAGCUACCUCUCCAGCACCAUGCCUGCCUGUGUGUUCUCGUGCUCCACCAGGAUGAUAAUAGUCUAACCUUCUGAAAUGCAAUCACGGGCUGGCGUGCAUACUCGGACCUCUGACAGGGAAGCUAUGGAAGAAGACAACUCAGUUUCUGAUGCUUUCUUUACUCAAACCCUCCAGAAUUAAAUGAGAGGUUUUCAGCAAUGGGCAGGCCACACAGUGAUUACAUUUGAAUUUUGCUCCAUAGCCAGUAAAUAAAAUGUUGCACCUGGAUAACUCUGUGCUCCGUCAAAUGCAGUUCAAAGCAGCCAAGAUACACAUAGAGGCAGAAAGUAAUGUUAGGUCAACACACUCACCCAAGAAAGAGCAUGGGUAUAAGAGAAUUGGGUCGAGCAGAAAGAAGUGUACUCCUACAGUGAUGUAGUGCUGCAGGAAAAUGACCGACAGAAUGAUAGCAAUGGAUGCUUUCACAAUCACUGCCAGCCAACAUCAUUGUGGUGGUUUGAAUUUACUUGCCCCCUAGGGAGUGGCACUGUUGGGAGGUGUGGCCUAGAAGGAAGAAGUCUGUCACCCUGGGGGUGGACUUUGAGAUCCUCCUCCUAGUUCCUUGCAAGACAGUCUUCUCCCGUUUGACUUUGGAACAAGAUGAAGAACUCUCAGCUCCUCCAGCACCAUGCCUGCCAUGCUCCCGCCUUGAUGGUAAUGGACUGAACCUCUGAACCUGUAAGCCAGCCCCAAUUAAAC